CGAGCUGGUCCGAUUCAGAACUGCGGAUAGUACGGCCCUCGCGGGAGCGGGCGCCGGAGCGCCGGGGCCGCGUCCCCGGGCCCGGGCCGGGCCGCGCGCUCUCCCCCCUUCCUCCCGCCCCGAGCGGGGCUCUGCACCUGCGGCGGCCGCCGUCUGGCUCCAGCCCCCGCGCUGCCCCCGGGGGCGAGGGGCCCGCGCCGAGACCAUCUGGAAACGGGCCGUGCACAGCAUCGUCCGUGCAGAGACAUCGCACUUUCAUCCCACAACGAGUCGAGGGGCGUGGAAAGCCGGUCUUGCACAGACACAAGACACGUGAACUUGGCCGCCGCACGUUCCCGGGCUUCCCCCUGGCCGCCGCCGCUGCCCUCACUGCCACGGGCCGUGCCGCUCCCCAGAUGACCUGAGGUUGACGCAUCCGUGUCCCACGAUGGUCCCACCGCAGGGAUAUUGGCAAGAUCGCCGGCCAGUACGUCAAGGAACCAGAAGGUGAUUUGAUCUGCACCUCUGACGACGGUCCCGCAAACGCUGGAGAGAGAGAGAGGGCUCGUCUCCGUAGAGGAGCUCGCUGCGCCUGCGACGUGGGCUGGGCUCAGCUCCGGAAGCUGGGAUGUUGGAGAACACGCCACCGGGGACCCACCCUGUUUCAGACCUGGACGCAGAAGUGUAACUUGUCACAGUGGGAACCACUUGCAGAGGUUUGGGCGAAAUGCCGUCUCGGACUCCUCGCUGCCCAGGAAUCCACCCGCAGAAGGGAGGCGCCGCACCCGCCGCCAGGUGGGGGCUGGCGUCACGUGACCCGGUCCCGCGCUGGGGAGGCGCUGCGAUGCCGGAGACGCACUCGCCGCCCGCCGCAGGUCUGCGAGGUGCCUCUCCCCGUGUGACGUGUUCCUGCCGCCUGGGAGGGCGACCGCCUGCCGAGACUGAGCAUCCAGCCGCCGGGGGCGCCCGCGUGGAAGUCCGCAGCCCUCGCACGGCUCCCCAGAAAGCCAGGAAGAAGUCUAAAUCCGAAAGCAAAGGAACACCGAACUAUUUUUCUGGUAGACAAACCCUCGCAACAUUAAAAAAAAAUCUGGAGAGUUGAUGGAUGUGUAAGAACGCGAUGAUACACUAGUCUCAUUCUGUGCCGAGCCAGUGGCGUGGUGUUUGCUUUAAAAGAUAACUUAGGGCAUGAGCUCAGGGACGAGAAACGGUUUUGACAGGGGAUCAGACGGAGCCGUCCCGAGCCCGCCAGAGUCCCCAAGGCUGCGUUGCUGCUUUAGGUAAUGGGGGAGGGGGGCUCCGGAGCUCGGGGGGUGGGGAGCCAUUGCACCUUUUGAGUAGAGACACCACACCUGACCCCCAGAGAGCUGCCCGCCCACCCGCCAGUCAGUCAGCCAGCCCACCCGCCAGGUAAGAGAGGGCACGGCCGGCCGCCGGACUCCCUGGGGACAUGAUGAUGCUGCGUUUCUUUCUUUCUUGGUUUAAGAUAUAUUUCUAGGCACUUCGGAAAAGAAAUCUAACUUUGCCUAGAUUCGAGACCUAAGUCUCUCCGUUACAUAAUGGGUUUCAUGCUGUCCGUGGCAGAAUACGCAUUAUGGAGGAUUCAGGGGAAAGAUGAACGAGUGUCCGUGGGGGGUGGUUUUAGGACCCGCAUGUCAUGCGGGAGAUUGAGGACGGGCGAGGGGGCGGAACCCGGCCAGCGAGCGGCGCUCCCGUCCGCGGACUCGGCCCGCUGCUGCUGCGUUGAGCUGUUGGCUUGGCGCGGCCCGGGAGAACAGCGCCUUGGAAACUGCUGCGAAUCUCCCACACGGAAACCUUCGCCCACUGGGUGGUCCCAGUUCGUUCGGAUGCGCUCUGGAGAACCAAAGUGUCCACUCAGCUUGUGAUACAGUAAAUCGCGGAUACACGAAGGACAGUAAGAUACGCGAACACUACCGGUGGUGCCAGGAUCUUCCUAAAAGCGACCUUCGUGUUGGACCUGCAAAGUUUCUUAAAAAAAAAAAAAGCAAACAAAACAAAACCCUCCUCCAUUAGAAUAAACUCUUACGUAUUGGGGGCACUGUACAGUUUUUCAACAAACAGUACACGCAUGCCGAUGUCCAAGAACAAACCCCGCCAAGAUGGCUAGAAUGUAGAUUUCCAAAUCUUUCCAGAAAAUACAAUUUCCUUGUAAAAUCGUAA
Phyllostomus hastatus (greater spear-nosed bat) is the source of this 2160-nucleotide long non-coding RNA. RefSeq lists it as uncharacterized. The record is from RefSeq and is a predicted model, not a curated record. NCBI's taxonomy places the organism in Eukaryota, Metazoa, Chordata, Mammalia, Chiroptera, Phyllostomidae. The transcript is spliced from 7 exons.